Molecule: long non-coding RNA, 409 nt
Filed under: Medicago truncatula (barrel medic)
Lineage: Eukaryota; Viridiplantae; Streptophyta; Magnoliopsida; Fabales; Fabaceae
Description: lncRNA gene12700
Source: RNAcentral
CUUGAAUACUUUCUCAGCCUGACCACCAUUCUUGAUUUCUGUUAACUCUUUCCCAUUUGAACUAGUUUCAUCAAAUAGUGGAUUCACCUUCUUGAAUUCAGUUGAAUCUUUCUCCUUGGAAUCAUUUUCGUCGCUCACCUUAGAUACUUGAUCAACUGUAGGUCCAUAAGCCCAACUGCAUACUAAGUAAUACAAUAGAUUUAGAGCAUUAAUUCCAACUAUAACCCAAUAAUACUUGUCGAAAUGACCUUUGUUAAUAUUAUCAGAAACCCACCCUUCAUUUCCUCCACUUGGAGUAGUGCUUUCUAUAAUGCUCAAUACUAAAGAGGAUACCAAGUUUCCUACACCCAUUGCCAAUCCAGAAAGGGAAGCAGCAACACUAGACAUACUCUUUGGAAACUCUUUGUAA